This 1609-nucleotide long non-coding RNA is filed under the name Oryza sativa Indica Group (long-grained rice). RNAcentral's name for it is "lncRNA OsGoSa_06g0017550". The record is from RNAcentral. Lineage: Eukaryota; Viridiplantae; Streptophyta; Magnoliopsida; Poales; Poaceae.
AAUCAUAACUGCAGGUUCUACACAUACUUAUUGUGGUAUCAGUGCUUUGAUGAGACGGAUACCAUCCUAUGGUCUACACUCCUUGAUUCUUCUGUAUUUCCACUUAUUGUUCCAAUUCCAUGGAUAACAGAGGAAAGUAACCUUGUUGCAUUCGGCAUAGAAAUGGGUAACAAUUUAAUACACCAAAGAAAACUACAAGAUCGUGGCCAUGGUAAACAAAUCGAUGAGAAUGCAAGACCAGGUGUAAGGCUUGAAGACCUUCCAUGGGACCUUGUAGUAUACAAAAUUUUAUCUAAAUUACCACUGAAAGAGGCUGCAAAAACUAGUGUUUUGUCUACCAAGUGGAGGUGCAUCUGGUUGACGUGCCCCAGAUUGUGUUUUGAUGGUCUUGCGAUGUUCAAAUGCGAAAGGGGUGAACUGUUCUUACACGCUCGGCAAUUCAUUGCUCAGGUUAAUGCUGUUUUGCAAAAAUACCAGGGAGAAGUGGUUGAGGAAUUUCAUAUCAGAUUUGAUUUUCACAGCAUACCAGCUCAUUAUCUUGAUAAUUGGGUUAUCUUUUCCUUGUCAUCUAAGAUGAAGAAUCUAGCUUUAGAUCUGCAAACCAAUGAUAUUGAACGAUAUCCUGCACGCUACAAAUUCCCCUUUGAACUUUUGGACAGUGGAAGCUUGUCCGGUCUACAACAUGUGCAGUUCAGUUUUGUAUCUAUCAAACCACCUUCCAAGUUCAGAGGUUUCCCUAACCUGAGAAAGCUUGAUCUGCAACUUCUAGAUGCCUCUUCAAAGGAUUUUGAAACUAUGCUGUCAAAUUGCAAACUUCUUGAAUGGCUAAGCAUGGACAGAUGCCGCCUGAAUGGUGAACUUAGGGUAGGUAGUCCAUUGCCCCGUCUGGUAUACCUACAAGUUGUGUACUGCCAAGUAACCAAGAUACAAUUCCAUGCUGUGGAGCUAGCUAAUUUUGUAUAUAAAGGAGACUUUGUGCCCAUAGCCCUCAAGCAUUCGUUGAAGCUGGAAAAUGCAAACAUCAGGUUAUAUAGUUUGAAUGAUCGGCAUGCUAUCAGUGACCUGGUAAAAUGUUUUCCGAACUUGCAAAAUCUGAAUUUUCACCUUUCUUGGAACGAUGCAGAGAUUCUGGGAUCGUGGAGACGGAUUUUUUUGUCUCUUUUCUCAGGGCUGCUCCUUUUAUUGAGAAGUUAGAGAUCCAUUUUUCCAUGAAUUUAUUAAUACUGGAUGAAUCGCAUGAGGACCAUCCUAUCAGGCAACAACUUGGACGCUGUGAAUACAAUAACCUGAAGAACAUGCGUAUCAUAGGAUAUAAAGGUUCAAGAGAUCAGGUCGAAUUUCUUCUACAUGUUGUGGAGAAUGCCCCUGCACUUGAGGUUUUAACUCUAGAGGCAGCUGGAAUAGAGUACCAGGAGGUUUCAUUUGUGUUGAAUGAAGCGUGGAUCGACAGAAUUACUCAGAGUGCCGAUAGAUCUGCUCUGAUUGCUCAACAGUAUCUGAGGGAGAAACUUAGCUCAAAGACACAGCUUUGUAUUAAGACUACUAGUUCCAGAUAGAGCUAGCGCUCUAUGCAAGCCAUGUGAAAAUAGCCAUUAGUGUAAGAUUAAUU